Long non-coding RNA from Numida meleagris (helmeted guineafowl), 2039 nucleotides. Lineage: Eukaryota; Metazoa; Chordata; Aves; Galliformes; Numididae. The record is from Ensembl.
CCACUCACCCACCCACGCCAGCCACACAGCCAGCCAGAGCACCACUUACCCACCCACGCAAGCCAGCCAGCCAGCAGAAGCACCACUCACCCACGCCAGCCAGCCCGAGCACCACUCACCCACCCACCAACGCAAGCCAGCAAGCCGGAGCACCACUCCACCAUCCACGCCAGCAAACCAGCCAGCCGGAGCACCAUUCACCCACGCCAGCCAGCCAGCAAGCCAGAGCACCACUCACCCACCCACGCACGCUAGCCAGCCAGCUGGAGCAGCACUCACCCACCCACGCCAGCCACACAGCCAGCCAGAGCACCACUUACCCACCCACGCAAGCCAGCCAGCCAGCAGAAGCACCUCUCACCCACGCCAGCCAGCCAGCCAGUAGGAGCACCACUCACCCACCCACGCCAGGCAGCCUUCCAGUAGAAGCAACAGUCACCCACGCACACCAGACAGCCAACCCGAGCAUUAUUCACCCACCCACUCCUGCAAGCUAGCCAGCGGGAGCACCAAUCACCCACGACAGCCAGCGAGCGAUACAGAGGGAUCACCACUCACGCUCCCACGCACGCAGGCCAGCCAGGUGGAGCACAAGUCACCUACGCACGCCAGCAAGCCGGAGCACCACUCACCCAUGCACGCCAGCGAGACAGCCAGCCGGGGCACUACUCACCCAUGCACGCAUGCCAGCCAGGCAGCAAGCCGGAGCACCACUCACCCACCCACCCACGCCAGCAAGCCAGCCAAAGCACCACUCACCCAUCCACGCACGCCAGCCAGCCAGCUGCAGCACCAAUCACCCACACACGCUCGCCAGCCAGCCUGUGUGCCACUCACCCACACCAGCCAGCCAGCCAGCCAGCCAGCCAGCCGGAGCACCACUCACCGACGCAUGCCUGCCAGCCGGAGCAAAACUCACCCAUCCAUGCAAGUCAGCAGGAGCACCACUCACCCACACACACGUGCCAGGCAGCCAGCUGGAACAGCACUCACCCACGCACGGCAGCCAGCCAGCCGGAGCACCACUCACCCACCCACGCCAGCCAGCCAGCCGGCAGGAGCACCACUCACGCACGCCAGCCAGCGAGUCUGAGCACCACUCACCCACGCACGCCAGCCAGGCAGCCAGCCGGAGCACCACUCACGCACCCACGCACGCAGACCAGCCAGGUGGAGCACAUCUCACCUACGCACGCCAGCAAGCCACUGCACCACUCACCCAUCCACCCCAGCCAGCCAGCAAGCCGGACAACCACUCACCCACCCACACCAGCCAUCCAACCGGAGUACCAAUCACCCACCCACGUACGCCAGCCAGCAAGCCAGCUGGGGCACCAGUCACCCACCCACGGCAGCCAGCCAGAAAGCCGGAGCACCACUCACCCACGCACGCACGCCAGCCAGCCAGCCAUCCGGAGCACCACUCACCCACGCAUGCCAGCCAGAAGCCCGAACAACACUCACCCACCCACGCCAUCCAGCCAGCCGGAGCACCACUCACCCAGUCACGGCAGCCAGCCAGCCGGAGCACCACACACCCACGCAUGCCAGCCACAAGCACGAACAACACUCACCCACCCACGCCAGCAAGCCAGCCAGCCAGAGCACCACUCACCCAUCCACGCACGCCAACGCCAGCCAGGCGGAGCACCACUCACCCACGCACGCCAGCCAGCAAGCCAGCCGGGGCACCACUCACCCAUGCACACCAGGCAGCCAGCAGGCUGGAGCACAACUCACCCCCGCCAGCCAGCCAGCCAGCUAGAGCACCACUCACCCACGCACGCCAGCCAGCCGGAGCACCACUCACCCACCCACCAACGCAAGCCAGCCAGUUGGAGCACCACUCAACCAUCCACGCCAGCCACCCAGCCAGCCGGAGCACCAGUUACCCAUGUACGCAUGCAGCCAGCCAGCCAGAGCACCACUCACCCGCGCACGCCAGCCAGACAGCCGGAGGACUACUCACCCACCCAUACCGGCAAGUCAGCCAGCCGGAGCACCACUCACCCAGGACACCCAGCCAGCCAGAACCCCAC